Molecule: transfer RNA, 85 nt
Filed under: Felis catus (domestic cat)
Lineage: Eukaryota; Metazoa; Chordata; Mammalia; Carnivora; Felidae
Also listed under: 1 other name
Rfam family: tRNA
About the family: Transfer RNA (tRNA) molecules are approximately 80 nucleotides in length. Their secondary structure includes four short double-helical elements and three loops (D, anti-codon, and T loops).
Source: Rfam by way of RNAcentral
GCCUGGGUGGCUUAGUUGGUUAAGCGACCGACUUCAGCUCGGGGCAUGAUCUCGUGGCUUGUGAGUUCAAGCCCCACAUCGGGCU